Molecule: ribosomal RNA, 1486 nt
Filed under: uncultured prokaryote
Description: partial 16S ribosomal RNA
Rfam family: Bacterial small subunit ribosomal RNA
Source: RNAcentral
AAUGAACGCUGGCGGCGUGCUUAACACAUGCAAGUCGAACGAGAAAUUUCCUGCUUGCAGGAGAGAGUAAAGUGGCGCACGGGUGAGUAACACGUGGAUAAUCUACCUUAGGUUCUGGAACAACAUUGCGAAAGCGAUGCUAAUACCGGAUGAGGUCUGUUUUACCUUGGUUUAACAGAUGAAAGGGUGCCUCUAUUUAUAAGCAUCUGACUUAAGAUGAGUCCGCGUACCAUUAGCUAGUUGGUGGGGUAAUGGCCUACCAAGGCAUCGAUGGUUAGCUGGUCUGAGAGGAUGAUCAGCCACACUGGAACUGACACACGGUCCAGACUCCUACUGGAUGCAGCAGUGAUGAAUUUUGCGUGAUGGGCGAAAGCCUGACGCAGCAACGCCGCGUGAGUGAAGAAGGCUCUUGGGUCGUAAAGCUCUGUCGGUGGGGAAGAACGGAUUAUACGUUAAUAGCGUGUAGUUUUACGGUACCUGUAGAGGAAGCACCGGCUAACUCCGUGCCAGCAGCCGCGGUAAUACGGGGGGUGCAAGCGUUAUUCGGAAUUAUUGGGCGUAAAGGGCGCGUAGGCGGUCUUGUCGGUCAGAUGUGAAAGCCCGGGGCUCAACCCCGGAAGUGCAUUGGAAACUGGGCAACUUGAGUAUGGGAGAGGAAAGUGGAAUUCCGAGUGUAGGGGUGAAAUCCGUAGAUAUUCGGAGGAACACCAGUGGCGAAGGCGGCUUUCUGGACCAAUACUGACGCUGAGACGCGAAAGCGUGGGGAGCAAACAGGAUUAGAUACCCUGGUAGUCCACGCCGUAAACGAUGGGAGCUAAGUGUCGCGGGUAUUGACCCCUGCGGUGCCGCAGCUAACGCAAUAAGUUCUCCGCCUGGGGAGUACGGCCGCAAGGCUAAAACUCAAAGGAAUUGACGGGGACCCGCACAAGCGGUGGAGCAUGUGGUUUAAUUCGACGCAACGCGAAGAACCUUACCUGGGCUUGACAUCCCGAUCGUAUCUUUUGGAAACAUUAGAGUCAGCUUGGCUGGAUCGGUGAACCGGUGCUGCAUGGCUGUCGUCAGCUCGUGUCGUGAGAUGUUGGGUUAAGUCCCGCAACGAGCGCAACCCUUGUUUUUAGUUGCCAAUAUUUAUUUAGGCACUCUAAAAAUACUGCCUCGGUUAACGGGGAGGAAGGUGGGGAUGACGUCAAGUCCUCAUGGCCUUUAUAUCCAGGGCUACACACGUCCUACAAUGGUAAGUACAGCGGGCAGCAAGCCAGCGAUGAGGAGCUAAUCCCAUAAAGCACGUCUCAGUUCGGAUUGCAGUCUGCAACUCGACUGCAUGAAGUCGGAAUCGCUAGUAAUCGCGCAACAGCAUGGCGCGGUGAAUACGUUCCCGGGCCUUGUACACACCGCCCGUCACACCAUGAGAGUUGGUUGUACCAGAAGUUGCUGGGCUAACCCGCAAGGGAUGCAGGUACCUAAGGUACGGUCGGUAAUUGGGGUG